RNAcentral lists this transfer RNA (61 nucleotides) under Xenos cf. moutoni RZ-2020. RNAcentral's name for it is "tRNA-Leu". Lineage: Eukaryota; Metazoa; Arthropoda; Insecta; Strepsiptera; Xenidae. RNAcentral also lists the same sequence under 1 other name. The record is from RNAcentral.
GUUAUUUUGGCAGAUUAGUGCAACAAAUUUAGAAUUUGUUAAUAUAUUAGAGUAAAUAAUA